RNAcentral lists this RNase P RNA (392 nucleotides) under Candidatus Peregrinibacteria bacterium RIFOXYA2_FULL_41_18. Its description in RNAcentral is "RNase P RNA component class A". It matches the Rfam family "Bacterial RNase P class A". From Rfam's summary of the family: Ribonuclease P (RNase P) is a ubiquitous endoribonuclease, found in archaea, bacteria and eukarya as well as chloroplasts and mitochondria. Its best characterised activity is the generation of mature 5'-ends of tRNAs by cleaving the 5'-leader elements of precursor-tRNAs. Lineage: Bacteria; Candidatus Peregrinibacteriota. RNAcentral also lists the same sequence under 3 other names. The record is from RNAcentral.
UUCUUUGAUAGUUCGCAGUCGCUUAUAUCUCGAGCAAUCGAGAUACGAGAGGAAAGUCCGGGCAACAUAAGGACGGGAAGUUCCUAACGGGAAUCGGGAUGGUACCUAACAAGGCCAUUCAAGGGAAAGUACCACAGAGACAAUACUACUCCCGCAAGGGAGGAAAGGUGAAAAGUCCCACUUAGUGGGAACACUAUCUACUUCGAGAGGGUAAACCUCAAAAGAGUAGCCGGUUGUGGGUAAACCCUUCCUGUUGCAAGGUGAGACUGGUAGCAUGGAAUAAAUUGAGUCCUUACGAUCCACGCUACUCACCGCUAGAUCCAUUCGGCAACGAAUGGGCCAGAUAGAUGACUGCUUAAAUACAGAACCCGGCUUAUGGACCGAAGAACACU